Molecule: non-coding RNA, 1013 nt
Organism: Trichonephila inaurata madagascariensis
Lineage: Eukaryota; Metazoa; Arthropoda; Arachnida; Araneae; Nephilidae
Source: the annotation of a GenBank genome assembly
ACCUGGUUGAUCCUGCCAGUAUCAUAUGCUUGUCUAAAUGAUUAAGCCAUGCACGUCUCAGUACAUGCCAACCUUUAUAGGGCCAAAACCGCAAAUGACUCAUUAAAUCAGUCACGGUUCAUUGGAUCGUGACGCGUUACUUGGAUAACUGUGGCAAUUCUACAACUAAUACAUGCAGCCGAGCUCCAACGCCCUGAUGGGAAGACGAGCGCUUUUAUUAGAUUCUACCCAGGCCUCUAUAGACCGAGAACAUGAACGAAACUAAUUAAUUUUGCUGAUCGCACAGGCCACUCCCGGAGACGUAUCUUUCAAGUGUCUGCCUUAUCAACUGUCGACGGUAGGUUUUGUGCCUACCAUGUUCACCACGGAUGGCGGGAAAACAGGGCUCGAUUCCGGAGAGAGAGCCUGAGAAACGGCUACCACAUCUAAGGAAGGCAGCAGACAAGCAAAUUACCCAAUCCUGGCUCGGGGAGGUAGUGACGAAAAAUAACGACGCUGGAUUCUUCCAGACCCAGUCGUUGGAAUGAGUACGCUCUCUAAGCCCUCUAACGAGGACUUACUGGAGGGCAAGACUAAUACCAGCCUUUGCGGUAAUUUUAGCUCCAGUGGCGUAUACUAAAAUUGUUGCAGUUAAAAAGCUCGUAGUUGGACAUCUGCUCUGUAUGUAAUGGGCCGCUCGCGCGGUCACCCAUUCACUCCCGGCAUUCUUGCCGCCGCCUCGGGAUUGAUUUAACCGGUCGGCUCCGAGUGGAUGGCAAUGAUCGCUUUGCAAAAAUUACAGUGCUCAAAGCAGGCACACACGCUCGAAUAGUAAUGCACGGAACAAUAAAACACGAUCUCGGCUUUGAGUUUGUUAGGUUGAUGGAGACCGAGGUAAUGAUUAAUAGGAGUAGACGGGGGCAUGCGUAUUCCGACGCUAAAGGGGAAAUUCUUGGACCGUCGGAAGACGACCCACUGCGAAAGCAUUUGCUGAAAGAUUAGAUACCUUUGUAGUUCUGAACCCCUAAACCAGG